UACGGAAGGUUCGGGCGUUAUCCGGAUUUAUUGGGUUUAAAGGGAGCGUAGGCCGUUUGGUAAGCGUGUUGUGAAAUGUCGGGGCUCAACCUGGGCAUUGCAGCGCGAACUGCCAGACUUGAGUGCGCAGGAAGUAGGCGGAAUUCGUCGUGUAGCGGUGAAAUGCUUAGAUAUGACGAAGAACUCCGAUUGCGAAGGCAGCCUGCUGUAGCGCAACUGACGCUGAAGCUCGAAAGCGUGGGUAUCGAACAGG
RNAcentral lists this ribosomal RNA (253 nucleotides) under Leyella stercorea DSM 18206. Its description in RNAcentral is "Prevotella stercorea DSM 18206 partial 16S ribosomal RNA". It matches the Rfam family "Bacterial small subunit ribosomal RNA", at positions 524 to 776 of the family's 1533-position model. The record is from RNAcentral. Lineage: Bacteria; Pseudomonadati; Bacteroidota; Bacteroidia; Bacteroidales; Prevotellaceae.